CCCGAAAUAGCUCAGUUGGGAGAGCGUUGGAGUGAAGAUCUAAAGGUCCCCGGUUCAAUUCCGGGUUUCGGCA
Non-coding RNA from Glossina fuscipes fuscipes, 73 nucleotides. Lineage: Eukaryota; Metazoa; Arthropoda; Insecta; Diptera; Glossinidae. The record is from Rfam.